UCCGGUUUGUCACCGGCAGUCUGGCGUGAGUCCCCAACUUAAUGCUGGCAACACGCCACGGGGGUUGCGCUCGUUGCGGGACUUAACCCAACAUCUCACGACACGAGCUGACGACAGCCAUGCAGCAUCUGUGGUGCACCCUCGAAGGUCACACGUUUCCGUGCGCUUGCAGCACCAUGUCAAGCCCAGGUAAGGUGGGGAUGACGUACUUGCUAGGUAA
Molecule: unclassified non-coding RNA, 220 nt
Filed under: uncultured Rubrobacterales bacterium
Lineage: Bacteria; Bacillati; Actinomycetota; Rubrobacteria; Rubrobacterales
Description: contains 16S-23S intergenic spacer region
Source: RNAcentral